GCCUGCUUAGCUCAGUUGGUUAGAGCGUCCGUCUCAUACGCGGAUUGUCACUGGUUCAAAUCUAGUAGCAGGCGAAUCCA
Molecule: transfer RNA, 80 nt
Filed under: Elliptochloris subsphaerica
Lineage: Eukaryota; Viridiplantae; Chlorophyta; Trebouxiophyceae
Description: Pseudochlorella subsphaerica tRNA-Met
Rfam family: tRNA
About the family: Transfer RNA (tRNA) molecules are approximately 80 nucleotides in length.
Source: RNAcentral